UACGGAGGGUGCAAGCGUUAAUCGGAAUUACUGGGCGUAAAGGGUGCGUAGGCGGUUGUUUAAGUCUGUUGUGAAAUCCCCGGGCUCAACCCGGGAACUGCGUCCGAUACUGGAAGGCUUGAAUCCGGGAGAGGGAUGCGGAAUUCCAGGUGUAGCGGUGAAAUGCGUAGAUAUCUGGAGGAACACCGGUGGCGAAGGCGGCAUCCUGGACCGGCAUUGACGCUGAGGCGCGAAAGCCAGGGGAGCAAACGGG
This 253-nucleotide ribosomal RNA is filed under the name uncultured bacterium. RNAcentral describes it as "partial 16S ribosomal RNA". It matches the Rfam family "Bacterial small subunit ribosomal RNA", at positions 524 to 776 of the family's 1533-position model. The record is from RNAcentral.